GGUUAAGCGACUAAGCGUACACGGUGGAUGCCCUGGCAGUCAGAGGCGAUGAAGGACGUGCUAAUCUGCGAUAAGCGUCGGUAAGGUGAUAUGAACCGUUAUAACCGGCGAUUUCCGAAUGGGGAAACCCAGUGUGAUUCGUCACACUAUCAUUAACUGAAUCCAUAGGUUAAUGAGGCGAACCGGGGGAACUGAAACAUCUAAGUACCCCGAGGAAAAGAAAUCAACCGAGAUUCCCCCAGUAGCGGCGAGCGAACGGGGAGGAGCCCAGAGCCUGAAUCAGUGUGUGUGUUAGUGGAAGCGUCUGGAAAGGCGCGCGAUACAGGGUGACAGCCCCGUACACAAAAAUGCACAUGCUGUGAGCUCGAUGAGUAGGGCGGGACACGUGGUAUCCUGUCUGAAUAUGGGGGGACCAUCCUCCAAGGCUAAAUACUCCUGACUGACCGAUAGUGAACCAGUACCGUGAGGGAAAGGCGAAAAGAACCCCGGCGAGGGGAGUGAAAAAGAACCUGAAACCGUGUACGUACAAGCAGUGGGAGCCUCUUUAUGGGGUGACUGCGUACCUUUUGUAUAAUGGGUCAGCGACUUAUAUUCUGUAGCAAGGUUAACCGAAUAGGGGAGCCGAAGGGAAACCGAGUCUUAACUGGGCGUUAAGUUGCAGGGUAUAGACCCGAAACCCGGUGAUCUAGCCAUGGGCAGGUUGAAGGUUGGGUAACACUAACUGGAGGACCGAACCGACUAAUGUUGAAAAAUUAGCGGAUGACUUGUGGCUGGGGGUGAAAGGCCAAUCAAACCGGGAGAUAGCUGGUUCUCCCCGAAAGCUAUUUAGGUAGCGCCUCGUGAAUUCAUCUCCGGGGGUAGAGCACUGUUUCGGCAAGGGGGUCAUCCCGACUUACCAACCCGAUGCAAACUGCGAAUACCGGAGAAUGUUAUCACGGGAGACACACGGCGGGUGCUAACGUCCGUCGUGAAGAGGGAAACAACCCAGACCGCCAGCUAAGGUCCCAAAGUCAUGGUUAAGUGGGAAACGAUGUGGGAAGGCCCAGACAGCCAGGAUGUUGGCUUAGAAGCAGCCAUCAUUUAAAGAAAGCGUAAUAGCUCACUGGUCGAGUCGGCCUGCGCGGAAGAUGUAACGGGGCUAAACCAUGCACCGAAGCUGCGGCAGCGACACUAUGUGUUGUUGGGUAGGGGAGCGUUCUGUAAGCCUGCGAAGGUGUACUGUGAGGUAUGCUGGAGGUAUCAGAAGUGCGAAUGCUGACAUAAGUAACGAUAAAGCGGGUGAAAAGCCCGCUCGCCGGAAGACCAAGGGUUCCUGUCCAACGUUAAUCGGGGCAGGGUGAGUCGACCCCUAAGGCGAGGCCGAAAGGCGUAGUCGAUGGGAAACAGGUUAAUAUUCCUGUACUUGGUGUUACUGCGAAGGGGGGACGGAGAAGGCUAUGUUGGCCGGGCGACGGUUGUCCCGGUUUAAGCGUGUAGGCUGGUUUUCCAGGCAAAUCCGGAAAAUCAAGGCUGAGGCGUGAUGACGAGGCACUACGGUGCUGAAGCAACAAAUGCCCUGCUUCCAGGAAAAGCCUCUAAGCAUCAGGUAACAUCAAAUCGUACCCCAAACCGACACAGGUGGUCAGGUAGAGAAUACCAAGGCGCUUGAGAGAACUCGGGUGAAGGAACUAGGCAAAAUGGUGCCGUAACUUCGGGAGAAGGCACGCUGAUACGUAGGUGAAGUCCCUUGCGGAUGGAGCUGAAAUCAGUCGAAGAUACCAGCUGGCUGCAACUGUUUAUUAAAAACACAGCACUGUGCAAACACGAAAGUGGACGUAUACGGUGUGACGCCUGCCCGGUGCCGGAAGGUUAAUUGAUGGGGUUAGCGGUAACGCGAAGCUCUUGAUCGAAGCCCCGGUAAACGGCGGCCGUAACUAUAACGGUCCUAAGGUAGCGAAAUUCCUUGUCGGGUAAGUUCCGACCUGCACGAAUGGCGUAAUGAUGGCCAGGCUGUCUCCACCCGAGACUCAGUGAAAUUGAACUCGCUGUGAAGAUGCAGUGUACCCGCGGCAAGACGGAAAGACCCCGUGAACCUUUACUAUAGCUUGACACUGAACAUUGAGCCUUGAUGUGUAGGAUAGGUGGGAGGCUUUGAAGUGUGGACGCCAGUCUGCAUGGAGCCGACCUUGAAAUACCACCCUUUAAUGUUUGAUGUUCUAACGUUGGCCCCUGAUCGGGGUUGCGGACAGUGUCUGGUGGGUAGUUUGACUGGGGCGGUCUCCUCCUAAAGAGUAACGGAGGAGCACGAAGGUUGGCUAAUCCUGGUCGGACAUCAGGAGGUUAGUGCAAUGGCAUAAGCCAGCUUGACUGCGAGCGUGACGGCGCGAGCAGGUGCGAAAGCAGGUCAUAGUGAUCCGGUGGUUCUGAAUGGAAGGGCCAUCGCUCAACGGAUAAAAGGUACUCCGGGGAUAACAGGCUGAUACCGCCCAAGAGUUCAUAUCGACGGCGGUGUUUGGCACCUCGAUGUCGGCUCAUCACAUCCUGGGGCUGAAGUAGGUCCCAAGGGUAUGGCUGUUCGCCAUUUAAAGUGGUACGCGAGCUGGGUUUAGAACGUCGUGAGACAGUUCGGUCCCUAUCUGCCGUGGGCGCUGGAGAACUGAGGGGGGCUGCUCCUAGUACGAGAGGACCGGAGUGGACGCAUCACUGGUGUUCGGGUUGUCAUGCCAAUGGCACUGCCCGGUAGCUAAAUGCGGAAGAGAUAAGUGCUGAAAGCAUCUAAGCACGAAACUUGCCCCGAGAUGAGUUCUCCCUGACCCUUUAAGGGUCCUGAAGGAACGUUGAAGACGACGACGUUGAUAGGCCGGGUGUGUAAGCGCAGCGAUGCGUUGAGCUAACCGGUACUAAUGAACCGUGAGGCUUAACCUU
Molecule: ribosomal RNA, 2904 nt
Filed under: Escherichia coli
Lineage: Bacteria; Pseudomonadati; Pseudomonadota; Gammaproteobacteria; Enterobacterales; Enterobacteriaceae
Description: 23S ribosomal RNA
Rfam family: Bacterial large subunit ribosomal RNA
Source: RNAcentral